GACGAACGCUGGCGGCGUGCUUAACACAUGCAAGUCGAACGGAAAGGCCCUGCUUUUGUGGGGUUCUCGAGUGGCGAACGGGUGAGUAACACGUGUGUAACCUGCCCUUUACUUUGGGAUAACUUCAGGAAACUGGGGCUAAUACCGGAUAUGAGCUCCUGCUGCAUGUUGGGGUUUGGAACUUUUCGGCGUUUGGGGAUGGACUCGCGGCUUAUCAGCUUUUUUGUUGGGUAGUUGCUUACCAAGGCUUUGACGGGUAGCCGGCCUGAGAGGGUGACCGGCCACAUUGGGACUGAGAUACGGCCCAGACUCCAACGGGAGGCAGCAGUGGGGAAUAUUGCACAAUGGGCGGAAGCGUGAUGAAGAAACGCCGCGUGCGGGAUGACGGCCUUCGGGUUGUAAACAGAUUUCGCAUGUGACGAAGAGUGAGUGACGGUAAUGGGUAAAGAAGCACCGGCUAACUACGUG
This 468-nucleotide ribosomal RNA is filed under the name uncultured bacterium. Its description in RNAcentral is "partial 16S ribosomal RNA". It matches the Rfam family "Bacterial small subunit ribosomal RNA", at positions 28 to 507 of the family's 1533-position model. The record is from RNAcentral.